RNAcentral lists this ribosomal RNA (484 nucleotides) under uncultured bacterium. RNAcentral describes it as "partial 16S ribosomal RNA". It matches the Rfam family "Bacterial small subunit ribosomal RNA", at positions 30 to 507 of the family's 1533-position model. The record is from RNAcentral.
AUUGAACGCUGGCGGAAUGCUUUACACAUGCAAGUCGAACGGCAGCACGGGGGCAACCCUGGUGGCGAGUGGCGAACGGGUGAGUAAUACAUCGGAACGUGCCCGGUCGUGGGGGAUAACGUAGCGAAAGUUACGCUAAUACCGCAUACGAUCUGAGGAUGAAAGCGGGGGACCUUCGGGCCUCGCGCGAUCGGAGCGGCCGAUGUCAGAUUAGGUAGUUGGUGGGGUAAAGGCCUACCAAGCCGACGAUCUGUAGCUGGUCUGAGAGGACGACCAGCCACACUGGGACUGAGACACGGCCCAGACUCCUACGGGAGGCAGCAGUGGGGAAUUUUGGACAAUCGGCGCAAGCCUGAUCCAGCCAUUCCGCGUGCAGGACGAAGGCCUUCGGGUUGUAAACUGCUUUUGUAUGGAACGAAAAGGCUCUGGCUAAUACCUGGGGCUCAUGACGGUACCGUAAGAAUAAGCACCGGCUAACUACGUG